Betta splendens (Siamese fighting fish) is the source of this 1706-nucleotide long non-coding RNA. RefSeq lists it as uncharacterized. The record is from RefSeq and is a predicted model, not a curated record. The transcript is spliced from 3 exons. NCBI's taxonomy places the organism in Eukaryota, Metazoa, Chordata, Actinopteri, Anabantiformes, Osphronemidae.
GCAGAGGGGAGGGGAGGGAGUGUGUGAGCGCGUGUGUGCGCGGCUCGCGCUCUCCGCUGUCUCCUGUCGGCGGCGCCCGUGGCGGCGUGCCGUGUCGUGUCGCGCGCGUGCUGUGAGGUGUCUGAUUGGCGCUGAGGCUGAGCGAGGGGCAAACAGAAGGCGCGAGAUCCCGCUCCUGAUUGGCUGCCAGCCAACGAGAGAGCGAGCGAUAGAGAGACAUAAGAAAAGAGCGGGGAGGGAGAGCUGAGUGAAGAGCAGACUAAUGGAAUAUUUACUACAAUUUGUGUGUGUGCUUAUUAUAAUUUCACAUGUAUUUGAGACACAUCUGAAACAAAAAAGUAUAAAAUACAAAAUGUUGAAUUUAGUGUUGGUAAAAUGUUACUUUGUUUCCUGUCAGUAAAGUGUCUGUUACGCGUUAAAACUUGAGAUGUUCAAACUAAAACAAAUCGGUCAUUCUGAAAACGUUUUGUGCUUAGUUGCGUUAAACUGUUGUUUAAGUCAGCUGCCAGAGGAUUAACCCCGUGUUUACAUCCAUAACUAUUUAACCUGUGAAUCAGGUCUGAACAAAAACUAAACAGCAGAGGAAGUUUUUCCACUGUUCCUGUCACCUCUGCACUUUUAAGGGUCUUUACUUUUACAUAUUCCAGAUGAUAGAAUGUAACUUUGAGUGAUUAUUACUAAGUUUAUUUUAUCUAUUUAACUCACAUAUGAAUCAGGACCCCUAUUUCAAUUCUGAUUUAUGUCUAUAAAUGUAUUACUUUGAUCUGUUUUUAAAAAUCUCACUUGCGCAUAUCGACGUUUGAGAUGUUUGUUGUUACAAAAAAUGAUUAUUUGUCGUUUGCAGAAAUUAAAUUAAUGCUGACAAGAUGAGUCAGAAGAAUUUCUACAACUGAGAUUAUUCAGUUAAUUGAAUACUUACUUAAUAUCCACAGUGUCAAGUUGAAUUUAGUAAUUAGGACCAAAAUAUCCAACAUGUUAAUUGUCUUAUUGGAGAAUAUUAUUAUUAUUUGCUCACUCUUGUCAACAUAGACCGGCCAGACAACAGAACCACUGUCUUUGCAUGCAAGGGAGCUGGGCCCAAUUCAUGUCUGAUGCAGAGUCUCUGAGGUAUAAGUUCUAAAGUUCCUUCUUUAACUGGGUAACAAACACACUGUUGACUGCAGCCCUCACACUCCUUCCUGCUCCACCAACAGUAUCAAUUGUGCUGCUGGGAAAUAGAGGCGCAUGCAUCAGCUCCCUGUGCUCCGUCAUGCUGAUUGUCACUAACAUGCAGUUACACGGCGUUAAAGCCUCACUGAUCCACUAUCUUCCUGCUGCAGCCUGUCCAUCACCGCGGACCGGCCGCGCGCCCUCCGGUGACGGACACAUCAGUCACCUGCGCGCGGCGCCGUCCUCCCAUCGCUCAGUGUUUAUCUGUGACAGCAAGCAGCCGCGUCUUCCUCCAAAUCCAAACCAGCGGCUGCGGAGUCAACGCGACUACGUCUCCGCUGAUGAUGUGAGUGAAACAGCGCUGGGAGCCUGAGCGGCAGCUUCUGAAUGAGUCGUCCAUAAACUGUGUGUGUGUGUGUGUGUGUGUGUGUGUGUGUGUGUGUGUGUGUGUGUGUGUGUGUGUGUGUGUGUGUGUGUGUGUGUGUGUGUGUGUGUGUGUGUGUGUGUGUGUGUGUGUGUGUGUGUGUGUGUGUGUGUGUGUGUGUGUGUGUGUGUGU